Long non-coding RNA from Setaria italica (foxtail millet), 2128 nucleotides. RefSeq lists it as uncharacterized. The transcript has 3 exons. The record is from RefSeq and is a predicted model, not a curated record. NCBI's taxonomy places the organism in Eukaryota, Viridiplantae, Streptophyta, Magnoliopsida, Poales, Poaceae.
CGUCUCCUCUCGUCUAUCCAGCUCUCUCUCUCUCUCUCUCCUCUCUCUCUCUCUCUCGUCAUUUCUCCUCCGCCAUCAGCUUCUCUCGCGCCUAGGGUUUCACCUGCGUCAGGUAGCUUGGGCCCGCGCCUCGUGCGCCGUCGGUGAGGCGGCUUGAACCCGCACCCAUCACCGUGCGGGAGGAGUCUCGAAUCUACUCGGUGACACGCACGCCAGGCACCGGCAGAUCGCGACGAGACCUCGGCGAGGGCGGCGCGCCGGCGGCUCACCCCGCGAGGUCCAGCAUGGUUACCGGCGAGGAUGGCGCUCCGGUGAGCUCCGUGACCGGCAUCUCCCUCAGUGGAUCUGCGUCAUCCUCAGCAAGGGGGAGGCAGGACCCAGCACUUCCCAUGGGGACGAGUCAUUUUCUUAGGAGAAGCAGAUGAAAGAAGGAAUGGGGGGAAGGGAGGCGGCGGCGCACAUGAAGGUGAGUUCUCGUUUUGCCCCCUUUUGAGAUUCGAUCCAUAUGCACGGUUAAAAAUCAAUUUAAUCUUCUAUUUUCGAGGUUGAUGCAGUGUUAGACAAAACUACGUGAGCAGGCAGAGACAUGGGAUACGGAGGUGCUCAUUUCUGAUUCAGAAGCCUUGGCACAUCUUUGGUUGAACCGUGGGCCGAGCUACUCCAUCAUGUUCAACAGAAAAGGGGGCUACUCUCAUGUUAUAGCUUCACCGACAUCAUUUGAGAAGAAUACACUUCCACAUGCUGCAGCUCUUCUUGAUGUAUCCCCUGUUACUGAUGUCACUGCAAUAAAGGAGCCACAAGUCUGUGGGGUUUGAUCUGCUUUUUACCACAUCUUUUUUUACAUUUUAUUCAGCAUAUGGGAGUUGCUUUCAUGUGUACACACGUGGUUUUGGAAUUUGGAUUGGUCCAUUUUAUAUGUUUUAGGCAAAUUACUGUACUUAGAUAAGCAAAGUAUUGUUAUCAGUUAGGCAAAGUACUGUUAUUAGUCAGGCAAAAUAUGUUUUAGUCAUAUUAUUACUGUUCUUCAUUUUAUUCCAUAGUAGCAGUUGGUUCCUAUGUUGUUUAGGCUAACAUAACCUUCUUGGUAGGCAAAGUAUUAUCAUUUGAGAUUAUUUGAGGAGUCCUUCAUGUUUUGUCAAUAGAUUUUAUUAAUGGUUCAAGUGUGGCGAAUAAAAUCUAUGGAUUCGCACGUUUACUGCCAUGCUAUUCUUCAAAAGAGCAUUUCUGUAUAUUUCCACAUUUAUUUCCUUGCUACAGUACAUUCAAGCACUCAUGACAUGUUUUAGUUCUUAAGAUUGUUGGAUUCUUGUAAGCUUGGUGUUAUGCAAUGUUUUAGUUCAAGCUAAAUCUUUACUUGCUUUUGGCUACUGUUUCAAACAUGUGUUGCCCAGCUGUACUAAUUAAGUGCUUGCUAAUUAAGUGCUUGGGUUAUUUGCAUCCUCAAUAGUUUAACUCUUUAAGCUUUGUAUCUGAUGCAUGUCUGAUUAGUGCUAGCUGCAGGAGCACAGUAGUUAUACUUUUGAGGUAUACUGUAAACUUAGUGGUAUUUGUUGUUGACAACAAACUGCUAGGUACUAUUUUUAUGCCACAUUAGUUACCAACGAGUAACUCCAUGGUAAGCACUUUUUGUAACAUGACUUAUUGACUUGCUUAUUGCUGGGAUUUUUAUUUUUAGGCAAUUUAUACUAGAUCAACAAGCAAUUCAUUCAUUUUAGCAUAGCAUUUUCUGUUUUGGUUUGAGCAUUUUUGUGUACUUUCAUGUUUUUCUAUUUUUGCUUACUGAAUCAAUUUUGUAAGCAACUCACGUGUUUAAUGAGUGUUUAAUGAGCUUGUAUUUUUUCUACUGGUUUAAUUGCAGUUUCAUUUUGUUCAUCAGAUCAUCACUCGGGAGCAGCAAAGUUGCAGCUCAACAUCGAUUUGAUCGUGCGCAGCUCAGUAGUAGUUGCAGUAGCUCCAAUCUUUAGUUUAAUUAUGACAACAGUGGAGCAAUCAUGAUUUUGUAAGCUGGUAUUUUUAAAACAUUGUGAAUGUUUUAGAAUUUCACCGGUGAGAUGUAUAUAUUCUAGUUUGCUUACAAUUUUCAAAGAUUUGCUUUAUGAGAUGUCAAAAGUUGCCUUUUUUGUCGCAA